RNAcentral lists this ribosomal RNA (640 nucleotides) under uncultured bacterium. RNAcentral's name for it is "bacterial SSU rRNA". The stretch from base 1 to 544 matches the Rfam family "Bacterial small subunit ribosomal RNA", at positions 338 to 873 of the family's 1533-position model. The record is from RNAcentral.
CCUACGGGAGGCAGCAGUGGGGAAUUUUGGACAAUGGGGGCUACCCUGAUCCAGCCAUUCCGCGUGAGUGAAGAAGGCCUUCGGGUUGUAAAGCUCUUUCGCAAGGGAAGAAAACUUAUGAUCGAAUAAAUCAUGAGGUUGACGGUACCUUGAUAAGAAGCACCGGCUAACUACGUGCCAGCAGCCGCGGUAAUACGUAGGGUGCGAGCGUUAAUCGGAAUUACUGGGCGUAAAGCGUGCGCAGGCGGUUUUGUAAGUCGGAUGUGAAAUCCCCGGGCUCAACCUGGGAACUGCGUUCGAAACUGCAAGGCUAGAGUGUGUCAGAGGGGGGUAGAAUUCCACGUGUAGCAGUGAAAUGCGUAGAGAUGUGGAGGAAUACCAAUGGCGAAGGCAGCCCCCUGGGAUAACACUGACGCUCAUGCACGAAAGCGUGGGGAGCAAACAGGAUUAGAUACCCUGGUAGUCCACGCCCUAAACGAUGUCAACUAGUUGUUGGUAGAGUAAAAUCUAUGAGUAACGUAGCUAACGCGUGAAGUUGACCGCCUGGGGGAGGUACGGUCGCGAAGUAAGUUAAACUUAACAAAUAGUUAAGUUAGUACGGCGUUGAGACGUUGCCGACGGACGACGACGAGGGAGGAGG